Molecule: non-coding RNA, 638 nt
Organism: Candidatus Harrisonbacteria bacterium
Lineage: Bacteria; Candidatus Harrisoniibacteriota
Source: Rfam
UGGGAAGUACGGCCGCAAGGCUAAAACUCAAAGGAAUAGACGGGGACUCGCACAAGCGGUGGAGCAUGAGGUUCAAUUCGACAGUAAACGAGGAACCUUACCAGGGCUUGAAAUCCAGACGACGAUUUGCCGAAAGGCGAAUCUUUCUCUCAAGGAACGGCUGGACAGGUGCUGCAUGGUUGUCGUCAGCUCGUGUUUUGAAAUGUUUCCUUAAGUGGUGUAACGAGCGCAACCCUUACCUGAUGUUAUAUGUGUCAUCGGGAACUGCCCUCUUUUGGGGGAGGAAGGAGAGGAUGACGUCAAAUCCGCAUGGCCCUCUGAUGCCCUGGGCUACACUCGUGCUACAAUGGCCAUUACAAUGGGUUGCCAAGCCGCAAGGCGGAGCUAAUCCCAUCAAAAAUGGUCCCAGUUCGGAUUGAGGGCUGAAACUCGCCCUCAUGAAGUUGGAAUCGCUAGUAAUCGCGCAUCAGCUAUGGCGCGGUGAAUACGUUCUCGAGUCUUGUACUCACCGCCCGUCACUUCAAGGAAGCCGGGAAUACCUGAAAACUCAGCUUGCUGGGGUUAAGGUAAAUUCGGUGACACGGAAGAAGUCGUAACAAGGCACGCGUAGCGGAAGCUGUGCGUGGAUCAAUUAAACA